RNAcentral lists this ribosomal RNA (115 nucleotides) under Escherichia coli. Lineage: Bacteria; Pseudomonadati; Pseudomonadota; Gammaproteobacteria; Enterobacterales; Enterobacteriaceae. The record is from RNAcentral. RNAcentral also lists the same sequence under 1 other name.
CUGGCGGCCGUAGCGCGGUGGUCCCACCUGACCCCAUGCCGAACUCAGAAGUGAAACGCCGUAGCGCCGAUGGUAGUGUGGGGUUUCCCCAUGCGAGAGUAGGGAACUGCCAGGC